CUGGCUCAGGACGAAACGCUGGCGGGCGUGCCUAAUACAUGCAAGUCGAGCGGACAGAAAGGGAGCUUGCUCCCGGAUGUUAGCGGCGGACGGGUGAGUAAACACGUGGGUAACCUGCCUGUAAGACUGGGAUAACUCCGGGAAAACCGGAGCUAAUACCGGAUAGUUCCUUGAACCGCAUGGUUCAAGGAUGAAAGACGGUUUCGGCUGUCACUUACAGAUGGACCCGCGGCGCAUUAGCUAGUUGGUGGGGUAAUGGCUCACCAAGGCGACGAUGCGUAGCCGACCUGAGAGGGUGAUCGGCCACACUGGGACUGAGACACGGCCCAGACUCCUACGGGAGGCAGCAGUAGGGAAUCUUCCGCAAUGGACGAAAGUCUGACGGAGCAACGCCGCGUGAGUGAUGAAGGUUUUCGGAUCGUAAAGCUCUGUUGUUAGGGAAGAACAAGUGCGAGAGUAACUGCUCGCACCUUGACGGUACCUAACCAGAAAGCCACGGCUAACUACGUGCCAGCAGCCGCGGUAAUACGUAGGUGGCAAGCGUUGUCCGGAAUUAUUGGGCGUAAAGGGCUCGCAGGCGGUUUCUUAAGUCUGAUGUGAAAGCCCCCGGCUCAACCGGGGAGGGUCAUUGGAAACUGGGAAACUUGAGUGCAGAAGAGGAGAGUGGAAUUCCACGUGUAGCGGUGAAAUGCGUAGAGAUGUGGAGGAACACCAGUGGCGAAGGCGACUCUCUGGUCUGUAACUGACGCUGAGGAGCGAAAGCGUGGGGAGCGAACAGGAUUAGAUACCCUGGUAGUCCACGCCGUAAACGAUGAGUGCUAAGUGUUAGGGGGUUUCCGCCCCUUAGUGCUGCAG
RNAcentral lists this ribosomal RNA (855 nucleotides) under Bacillus sp. BAB-5808. RNAcentral's name for it is "bacterial SSU rRNA". It matches the Rfam family "Bacterial small subunit ribosomal RNA", at positions 19 to 851 of the family's 1533-position model. Lineage: Bacteria; Bacillati; Bacillota; Bacilli; Caryophanales; Bacillaceae. The record is from RNAcentral.